This 421-nucleotide ribosomal RNA is filed under the name uncultured bacterium. Its description in RNAcentral is "bacterial SSU rRNA". It matches the Rfam family "Bacterial small subunit ribosomal RNA", at positions 83 to 518 of the family's 1533-position model. The record is from RNAcentral.
CAUUUAAGCUUAGUGGCGGACGGGUGGAGUAACGCGUGAGCAACCUGCCCUCGAGUGGGGAAGUAACAUCGAGAAAUCGGUGCUAAUACCGCAUAAAGUCGAGAGACCGCAUGAUCUUUCGACCAAAGGAUUUAUUCGCUUGAGGAUGGGCUCGCGUCCGAUUAGCUAGUUGGUGAGGUAACGGCCACCAAGGCAACGAUCGGUAGCCGAACUGAGAGGUUGAUCGGCCACAUUGGGACUGAGACACGGCCCAGACUCCUACGGGAGGCAGCAGUGGGGAAUAUUGGGCAAUGGGCGAAAGCCUGACCCAGCAACGCCGCGUGAAGGAUGAAGGUCUUCGGAUUGUAAACUUCUUUGAUUGGGGAAGAAUAAAUGACCUACCCAAAGAACAAGCCACGGCUAACUACGUGCCAGCAGCGGC